GUAACUCAGAGGUAGAGGAUCUGCCUUGCAUGCAGAAGGUCCAAGGUUCAAAUUCUUGGUGUCCUCA
Molecule: non-coding RNA, 67 nt
Organism: Podarcis lilfordi (Lilford's wall lizard)
Lineage: Eukaryota; Metazoa; Chordata; Lepidosauria; Squamata; Lacertidae
Source: the annotation of a GenBank genome assembly